Molecule: ribosomal RNA, 464 nt
Filed under: Vreelandella stevensii
Lineage: Bacteria; Pseudomonadati; Pseudomonadota; Gammaproteobacteria; Oceanospirillales; Halomonadaceae
Description: partial 16S ribosomal RNA
Rfam family: Bacterial small subunit ribosomal RNA
Source: RNAcentral
CCUACGGGUGGCUGCAGUGGGGAAUAUUGGACAAUGGGCGAAAGCCUGAUCCAGCCAUGCCGCGUGUGUGAAGAAGGCCUUCGGGUUGUAAAGCACUUUCAGUGGGGAAGAAAGCCUUGGGGCUAAUACCCUCGAGGAAGGACAUCACCCACAGAAGAAGCACCGGCUAACUCCGUGCCAGCAGCCGCGGUAAUACGGAGGGUGCGAGCGUUAAUCGGAAUUACUGGGCGUAAAGCGCGCGUAGGCGGUCUGAUAAGCCGGUUGUGAAAGCCCCGGGCUCAACCUGGGAACGGCAUCCGGAACUGUCAGGCUAGAGUGCAGGAGAGGAAGGUAGAAUUCCCGGUGUAGCGGUGACAUGCGUAGAGAUCGGGAGGAAUACCAGUGGCGAAGGCGGCCUUCUGGACUGACACUGACGCUGAGGUGCGAAAGCGUGGGUAGCAAACAGGAUUAGAUACCUUGUAGUC